Non-coding RNA from Gossypium raimondii (Peruvian cotton), 137 nucleotides. The record is from Rfam. NCBI's taxonomy places the organism in Eukaryota, Viridiplantae, Streptophyta, Magnoliopsida, Malvales, Malvaceae.
UGUUAAAUAUUUCAUCUAUUUGUAUUGUCAAAAAACAGUGUGGCCGAUGGAAUAACCGGACAGUGACAUGAGGUAUGCAAUCAUACUAAUGUACAUGAACUAGUUUUUAAUAGUAGAAAUGGAUGAAAUUUUUAACA